This 253-nucleotide ribosomal RNA is filed under the name uncultured bacterium. Its description in RNAcentral is "partial 16S ribosomal RNA". It matches the Rfam family "Bacterial small subunit ribosomal RNA", at positions 524 to 776 of the family's 1533-position model. The record is from RNAcentral.
UACGGGGGGGGCAAGCGUUGUUCGGAAUUACUGGGCGUAAAGGGCUUGUAGGUGGCCAACUAAGUCAGACGUGAAAUCCCUCGGCUUAACCGGGGAACUGCAUCUGAUACUGGAUGGCUUGAGUUUGGGAGAGGGAUGCGGAAUUCCAGGUGUAGCGGUGAAAUGCGUAGAUAUCUGGAGGAACACCGGUGGCGAAGGCGGCAUCCUGGACCAACACUGACACUGAUGAGCGAAAGCCAGGGGAGCAAACGGG